UACGUAGGGUGCUAGCGUUGUCCGGAUUUAUUGGGCGUAAAGGGCUCGUAGGCGGCGUGUCGCGUCGGGAGUGAAAGCCCGCUGCUUAACGGCGGGUUGGCUUCCGGUACGGGCAUCGCUGGAGUGCGGCAGGGGAGACUGGAAUUCCGGGUGGAGCGGUGAAAUGCGUAGAGAUCCGGAGGAACACCGACGGCGCAGGCAGCGUCCUGGCCGCUGCUGACACUGAGGCACGAAAGCUGGGGGAGCAAACAGG
RNAcentral lists this ribosomal RNA (253 nucleotides) under uncultured bacterium. RNAcentral describes it as "partial 16S ribosomal RNA". It matches the Rfam family "Bacterial small subunit ribosomal RNA", at positions 524 to 776 of the family's 1533-position model. The record is from RNAcentral.